This 492-nucleotide ribosomal RNA is filed under the name uncultured bacterium. Its description in RNAcentral is "partial 16S ribosomal RNA". It matches the Rfam family "Bacterial small subunit ribosomal RNA", at positions 29 to 507 of the family's 1533-position model. The record is from RNAcentral.
AGUGAACGCUGGCGGUAGGCCUAACACAUGCAAGUCGAACGGCAGCACAGUAAGAGCUUGCUCUUACGGGUGGCGAGUGGCGGACGGGUGCGGAAUACCUCGGAAUCUACUUUUUCGUGGGGGAUAACGUAGGGAAACAUACGCUAAUACCGCAUACGACCUACGGGUGAAAGCUGGGGAUCUUCGGCCCUUGCGCGAUUGAAUGAGCCGAUGUCGGAUUAGCUAGUUGGCGGGGUAAAGGCACACCAAGGCGACGAUCCGUAGCUGGUCUGAGAGGAUGAUCAGCCACACUGGAACUGAGACACGGUCCAGACUCCUACGGGAGGCAGCAGUGGGGAAUAUUGGACAAUGGGCGCAAGCCUGAUCCAGCCAUACCGCGUGGGUGAAGAAGGCCUUCGGGUUGUAAAGCCCUUUUGUUGGGAAAGAAAAGCAGCAGGUUAAUACCCCGCUGUUCUGACGGUACCCAAAGAAUAAGCACCGGCUAACUUCGUG